GUGGGGAAUAUUGCACAAUGGGCGAAAGCCUGAUGCAGCGACGCCGCGUGAGGGAUGACGGCCUUCGGGUUGUAAACCUCUUUCGCCCGGGACGAAGCGAGAGUGACGGUACCGGGAGAAGAAGCACCGGCUGACUACGUGCCAGCAGCCGCGGUAAUACGUAGGGUGCGAGCGUUGUCCGGAAUUAUUGGGCGUAAAGAGCUCGUAGGCGGUUUGUCGCGUCGACUGUGAAAACCUGGGGCUCAACUCUGGGCCUGCAGUCGAUACGGGCAGACUUGAGUUCGGUAGGGGAGACUGGAAUUCCUGGUGUAGCAGUGAAAUGCGCAGAUAUCAGGAGGAACACCGGUGGCGAAGGCGGGUCUCUGGGCCGAUACUGACGCUGAGGAGCGAAAGCGUGGGGAGCGAA
Molecule: ribosomal RNA, 406 nt
Filed under: uncultured bacterium
Lineage: Bacteria
Description: bacterial SSU rRNA
Rfam family: Bacterial small subunit ribosomal RNA
Source: RNAcentral